CAACUAUUUUUUAAGACCUCAAAUCAGGUGGGACUACCCGCUGAACUUAAGCAUAUCAAUAAGCGGAGGAAAAGAAACUAACAAGGAUUCCCCUAGUAACGGCGAGUGAAGAGGGAAAAGCCCAAAUUUGUAAUCUGGCUCUUUCAGAGUCCGAGUUGUAAUUUUAAGAACUGUUUUCUGUGCUAGGCCACAUAUAAGUCUGUUGAAAAACAGCAUCAUGGAGGGUGAUAAUCCCGUAUAUGAUGUGGAUUUGCUAGUGCUUUAUGAUACAGUUUCUAAGAGUCGAGUUGUUUGGGAAUGCAGCUCAAAGUGGGUGGUAAAUUCCAUCUAAGGCUAAAUAUAGGUGAGAGACCGAUAGCAAACAAGUACCGUGAGGGAAAGAUGAAAAGAACUUUGGAAAGAGAGUUAACAGUACGUGAAAUUGUUAAAAGGGAAACAAUUGAAGUUAGCCUUGUUGUUAUUAGUUCAGCUCCUUCUGGGGUGUAUUCUAAUGGCCAACAGACCAACAUCAAUUCUAUAGUGUUGGAUAAGGGUUGGGGAAAUGUAGCAGUCUUUGACUGUGUUAUAGUCCUGGACUUUGAUACAGUGCUUGGGAUUGAGGAAUGCAGUAAGCUACUCUUGUGGCGGGACAAUUUUAUUGUUCUUCUUACUGAGGAUGUUGGGUAUAGCUUCAACUGACCCGUCUUGAAACACGGACCAAGGAGUCUAACAUGCCUGCGAGUAUUUGGGUGUUCAAACCCUGAUGCGUAAUGAAAGUGAAUGUAAAUGGGAUCUGUCAAAGGUGCACCAUUGACCAGUCCUGAUUAUUUAUAUGAAGGUACUGAGUAAGAGCAAGUAUGUUGGGACCCGAAAGAUGGUGAACUAUGCCUGAAUAGGGUGAAGCCAGAGGAAACUCU
This 896-nucleotide ribosomal RNA is filed under the name Kweilingia divina. RNAcentral's name for it is "eukaryotic LSU rRNA". It matches the Rfam family "Eukaryotic large subunit ribosomal RNA", at positions 1 to 865 of the family's 3401-position model. Lineage: Eukaryota; Fungi; Basidiomycota; Pucciniomycetes; Pucciniales; Crossopsoraceae. The record is from RNAcentral.